RNAcentral lists this ribosomal RNA (465 nucleotides) under uncultured bacterium. RNAcentral's name for it is "partial 16S ribosomal RNA". It matches the Rfam family "Bacterial small subunit ribosomal RNA", at positions 28 to 507 of the family's 1533-position model. The record is from RNAcentral.
GACGAACGCUGGCGGCGUGCUUAACACAUGCAAGUCGAACGGAAAGGCCCUGCUUGCCGGGUACUCGAGUGGCGAACGGGUGAGUAACACGUGGGUGAUCUGCCCUGCACUUCGGGAUAAGCUUGGGAAACUGGGUCUAAUACCGGAUAGGAGCCAUCUUUAGUGUGGUGGUUGGAAAGUUUUUUCGGUGUAGGAUGAGCUCGCGGCCUAUCAGCUUGUUGGUGGGGUAAUGGCCUACCAAGGCGGCGACGGGUAGCCGGCCUGAGAGGGUGUACGGCCACAUUGGGACUGAGAUACGGCCCAGACUCCUACGGGAGGCAGCAGUGGGGAAUAUUGCACAAUGGGCGCAAGCCUGAUGCAGCGACGCCGCGUGGGGGAUGAAGGCCUUCGGGUUGUAAACGCCUUUCGCUAGGGACGAAGCUUUGUGUGACGGUACCUAGAGAAGAAGCACCGGCUAACUACGUG